Molecule: ribosomal RNA, 449 nt
Filed under: uncultured bacterium
Lineage: Bacteria
Description: bacterial SSU rRNA
Rfam family: Bacterial small subunit ribosomal RNA
Source: RNAcentral
CCAGACUCCUACGGGAGGCAGCAGUGGGGAAUAUUGGGCAAUGGAGGGAACUCUUACCCAGCAAUGCCGCGUGAAUGAAGAAGGUCUUCGGAUUGUAAAGUUCUUUAAUUGGGGACGAAAAAAAUGACGGUACCCAAGGAAUAAGCCACGGCUAACUACGUGCCAGCAGCCGCGGUAAUACGUAGGUGGCAAGCGUUGUCCGGAUUUACUGGGUGUAAAGGGCGUGUAGCCGGGCCGGCAAGUCAGAUGUGAAAUCCCAAGGCUCAACCUUGGAACUGCAUUUGAAACUGUUGGUCUUGAGUAUCGGAGAGGCAGGCGGAAUUCCUAGUGUAGCGGUGAAAUGCGUAGAUAUUAGGAGGAACACCAGUGGCGAAGGCGGCCUGCUGGACGACAACUGACGGUGAGGCGCGAAAGCGUGGGGAGCAAACAGGAUUAGAUACCCGAGUACA